This 5112-nucleotide long non-coding RNA is filed under the name Sus scrofa (pig). RNAcentral's name for it is "lncRNA (ENSSSCG00025041011.1)". Lineage: Eukaryota; Metazoa; Chordata; Mammalia; Artiodactyla; Suidae. The record is from RNAcentral.
UUUUUUUUUGCCAUAACAUGUACUAGCUUGACAUUGGAUCUCAGUUCCCAGACCAAGGACUGAACCCAGGGCACAGUGGUGAAAGGGCUGAAUCCUAGGCCACCAGGCAGCUCCCCUGCCUGCUUCAUUUUCAUGGCAAAUGAUCUAGUGUGCUAGUUUCCCCCUACGCUUCAAUGCGAGUUCCAUGAUGGAUACAAUUUCGUCUACUAUAACUGAGCAUCUCCAGACACUGCAACGAUGCCUGACACCUAGUAGAAAACAGCAGCAAAACGAAAGGCACAUAAUAAAAAAUAACAUUAAGUGUUACUAUUAUGGCUCUGGUGGCUAUUUACUUAUCCCUUGUUCUGUGAGGCUGUGAUGCUCUAAUUCACUGAGUCCUCACGAGUCCACGAGGAAAUCAGCAUUAUCACAUUCAUUCUAGGGAUGGGAGGAAGUGAGCUGCUCGGAGGUCAGGGAUGCCCCAGGGGUACAGUUAACACAUGGAGACCAGGGAUGCAAAGGCGGGCAGGUGGGGUGACCUCUAAGACCGGGGAUCCAAAGGCAGGCAGGUGGGGUGACCUCUGAGUGUUAGGGGGAGUCUACACUCAGUAAGUUUGCUAAACAAACGAACACAGCCAAGUGCCAGGCAGCGGGGAGCUGAGCUGUUGAGGAACCGGAGACAGGCCUCCUCACUCUGCAAUGGGAUUCCUGGUGGGGGGUCCCCCCACUUCCCCUUCCUUUGUCAAGGUGCCCCUGGGCCACGAACUGCCCGAGGGACUGAGGUCAUAGCAAUAAAUGGGGGAAGAAAAUCUUUGAUUUCGGAGCCCUACCCUGAGGAUGAGGGCAGAAAUGGGCCGUUAGGUAAACAGGCAAGAAAAUAAGCCAACCUCAGACAAGUGUCAUCAGCAGAUCAAAGCAAGUAAGGGAACUGACAGACACAGCUGUUUUGUAAACCCACACGGGGCCACAAAGAGAAUUUCCUUUCCAACAGGGGAGUCCCUACAGAAUACAGGGUUUCCACGGGGCUGCUGUCGCCACAGCCAGGUCAGCAAGCAUGGUGAGGCCUCCAUGUGUCAAGUGGGGUUGAUUAUGGCUGCGGAACUGAAAUGGGGCCGUCCAGCCAUGCGGCACUGGAGGAGGCACCGAGUCUGGGAAAGCAGGGCUGCGCUCCUUAGAAGAGCUUCAAGGUCACAGAGCUGGGCCGGGUCUACAGUGACUCCAGGAGGAACCAAGGCCUUUCCCAACCAAAGCGUUCCCAUCAGUGUUUCUGCAACAUAAGAACACACAUGCUCGGGGUGCCUGCUGCACCAUAAAGUAGAAAUAAACACGCCUAAGCAAACCCGGGGCUCAGGGCCCCACACAGAAGACUUCCUGGGGCGCGGGGCGGGGACGACGGGGACCUGGGUCUGUUCCUGCACACCAUGAUGCCUCAGGGUUCAGACCAGAAACUCGGACCCGCCUCGACUUUCUUACACCUGAAAACCGUAACAUGAAACUGUCCCACGUCGCAGAGGCGGCAGCUGAGGAUCAAGAAGAUACUCGCACCUCCUCACCCCUGCUAGGAGAUGCGAGGAAAAGGGCAACAACAGGUGUUGGGGAGGCUAUGGAGAUACUGGAACCCUCCAGCACGGCUGGCGGGAACAGAAGAUGAUGCCAGGAACCUCGGACAACAGUCUGGCAGUUCUUCAAAAGUUCAACAAAGAGGAGUUUCCUGGUGGCCUAGCAGCUAAGGACUUAGCACUGUCACUGCUCUAACUCGGGUUGCUGCCGUGGCUCAGGUUUGAUCCUGGACCAGUAAACUUCUGCAUGCCAUGGAUGUGGCCAAAAAAAAAAAAUCCUUUUUCAAGUUAAACAAAGAGUUGCCUUACGAUGUGGCAACUCCACUCUUAGAUACACACCCAGGAGAAGGAAAACACGCCUUCACAAAAAAACGUGUGCAUGAGAGCCCACGGCAGCACGAUUCCUAAGAGCCCAAAAGAAGAAAUGUACCAAAUGCCCACCAACUGGGGGGUGGAUAAACCCCACGGGACACUUCCAUAAAGCAGCAUGUUAUUUGGCUGUAAAGAGGAAUAAGAUAACGAGGCAUGCCUGCUACAACAUCGAUGGAUCUUGAAAACACUAUGCUAAGUAAAAGAAGCCAAUUGCAAAAGGUCACUUAUUGUAUGAUUCCACUUACCUGAACUGUCCAAAUCCACAGAAACAGAAAGCAGAUUAGUGGUUGCCAGUAGCGGAGGCCAGGGAAUGGGCAGUGGUUUCUAACGGGUACAGGGUUUGCGGUGGGGGGGUGAUGACAAAUGCUAAUUUGGUAGUGGUGAUGGUUGUACGACUCUGAAAAUAUACUAAAAAAUACUGGAUCGUAUAUUUUUUUUGGCCAUGCCUGCAACAUGAGGAAGUUUCCAGGCCAGGGACGAAACCUGUGCCACAGCAGCGACCCAAACCACAGCAGUAACAACGCCAGAUCCUUCACCCUCUGCACCAUCAGGGGACUCCUUAAUCAUAUACUUUGAAGGGGAGAAGAGUAGAGCAUUGACUGAUGUCUCGAUACAAAUAAAUAAAUAAAAUGAUGGACUCUUCACUUCUGAGAUGAAGUUCACCUGAGACUGACGUCGGCCUCACUCGCCACCUCUCGCUCUUUUGUUGGCUUGCUCAGAUGGGAGGCAGCUGCCGUGCUGUGAGCUGCCCUUUAAACAGCCCCAAAGGCAACAGCCAAAAAAGGAACUGAGGCCCUCAGCCCAACACCAGCCAAAACCCAAGUCCUGGCCAAGAAGCUGAAGUGUGAUUAAGUGUGAGCCGCCCUGGUCCAGCCCCAGUUGAAGACACUGGCUCCUCGAUUGCACCCUGAGAGAGAUGCUGAACCCUAUCCAGAUAGUUCAUCCACGGGAAUGGUGAUGGGACAAAGGGUGCUGUUUCAGGUUAAAAAGUAUUGCCCUACGUCACCCAACAGUGAUGCGCUGGGGUGCAAGCCCACAACGGUCAGGCUACUGGCUCCCUGCUGCCCUACUGCGCUAUUCAUCCCUGUGUCCUGGCAGAUGGCUCCAAGGACAUGAUGCUCGACACACAGUAGGCGCUCAUCAAGUUUUCUAGAACUGAAGGAAAUAUACCAAUUCCCGCUUCUCUAUGGGAACCUUGAAAAUGCUCUCAAUAAGGAAACAGAAUGAGAGAAAAAUACGCAAGCCUCACUGCAUUCUGUCAUUUCCCAGUCUCGUGUCUGCAGGUGACAUUCCAACCGAGACGCUCCGUGAAAGCUGGUGACCCUGCCAUGUCCCUGACAUCACGCUACGUGAGGCAGGUGCUUCUAAGAUUUGGCCCCGGGCUCUACCAACCUCACGCACGUACUGGACCCAUCACCAUCAGAGGGUUAGCCAUCCGUGCGUCCUGAGAAGCACCCGAUCCUCAUAUAUGGCAAUGCCCCAAGUGAGGACAUCAAUCACUGCUAUUAAAACAGGACUUCGGUCCAGAAAGAAUUCGCACGGCCCUUUCUUAAAGCUUCCCCUCAAACGGUCCCCGUCUCUCCCCGCCCUCUCCCACACGUCACUUUCAAGAGAGAUUUAUUACAGGGCUGUCAACACAAUCCUACCUUUACGGAAAAAGAUAAAAAUAAGCAACACCUUACAAGAAGACGCCAUGGCGAAAGCUAAAUCAUAAAUGUUUGAUAAGGAAUGGUCAGAUCCAGACAAAUCACUGUUCAAUCCCACUUUGUAUUAAGCAGAUAAAGUCAUACAGAAAAUCAAUGUGAUGUAUUGAAAGGGAAGGAAAAGAAUGCCCAGCUCAGGGAGUGGCUACACAGUAUUAGGAAGCCGUGGCUUCAUAAGAACCUUAUAAUAUGACAACAACAUAAAAUUCUUACAUUGGGGCACUGACUGCUGACGUGUGGGGCCUGUUGAUGGCAUUCGGUCUAGGUCGAAUCAGAGCUGGAUCCUUAACCCACUGAGGAAGGCCAGGGAUCGAACCUGUGUGCUCAUGGAUGCUAGUCGGAUUUGCCCCACUGAGCCACGACGGGAACUCUGGUGCCACUGUUUUCAAGGACCAUUUGGCAAUUUCUAUGAAAUGGAUCUUUUUUUGGGGGGGGGGGCACCUGCGGCAUAUGGAGGGUCCCAGGAAUCGAACCNCUUGGAGGAAUGAAUUACUGCACACAGACCAAGUGUCCAGAGUAGGGCCUGGUACAUUAACGGGCAUCACUGAAGCAGGGGUUCACGUCAGCAUUCUGGUUCCAUCAACACUUUCUCUGGCUCCAUUAUAGAAUGGUAUAAAUACUCUCUUCUUGGGGGGGGGGACACCUAAACUGUGGAGAAGGGUGUAAAGCAGGGCUUCUCAACUGGGGGUUGGUUUGCCCUCUGCCCAAGGGAUAUCUGGCAGCACCUACAGACAUCUUUGGCUUUUUAGGACUUGGGAGGGAGGCAGGAGCGACUGGCAUCUAGUGAGGAGAGGCCAGGGUUGCUGGGAAGCGUCCCGCAAGGCACAGGAAGGCCCUACAGCCGAGUUACCCACACCGCAAAUCAAUAGCGUGAGGGUGAGAAACUCGGAGAGAAGGUCAAACAGCAAAGUCUCUUGGCCCCUGAGUCCCGCGUCUCCCGUGUGUCCAGCACCGCUCGAUUCCUCCUCACGGGGUCGUCCCCACCAACAUCCACACUCUACCCCCCGAUGACAGUGAGCUAGUCAUAAACAAGAACAACACACCAAGAGUCAGGUGUGGCCCCUGGGGGUCCCCGGCCAUGCUCUGCUCCGCCUCCCAAGCUACGCAAGGCAAGGUGGGCUCUGCCUCCUUUGAGAAUCGCCUGCCGUGAAGAGCAGCGGGUCCUACGACCUGCACCUGCGGGGCCCAGGCUGCUGGGAGUGUGGAGACCAGGGAGGGAGGACGGCCGUGACCCAGGCCAGGCAUGACAGUGACCGCGGCCAGGGUGGUGAUGCUGAGGAGGAGGACCGUGGUUGGACCGGAGGCAGGGAGUGACCAAUCAGUGAUGGCAGGACAUCUGGGGCGGGGGAGGCACCAAGACAGUCCCUGGCUGGGGGACCCUGCAGGUGGAUGCGGGAGCAGCUGCUCAUUGGGCAGGUAGACAGGCACCAGGAGAGGGCUUGUCACGCGCAGAAUUACAUGAGGGCGUGACCCCGGAGGGCAACCUUGCUUAUCACACG